GAUGAACGCUGACAGAAUGCUUAACGCAUGCAAGUCUUUGGCGAAGCUGUGCUUGCACCACCUAGCCAAGGCGGACGGGUGAGUAACGCGUAAGGAACUUGCCCUGCAGUCAGGGAUAACAGACGGAAACGACUGAUAAGACCUGGUAAAGUCAGGCGGACUCAUGUCCAGCCUGAUGAAAAGAGAUGCUGCAGGAGAGCCUUGCGUCCUAUUAGCUUGUUGGUGGGGUAACGGCCCACCAAGGCGAUGAUAGGUAGCCGGCCUGAGAGGGUGGACGGCCACAAGGGGACUGAGAUACGGCCCUUACUCCUACGGGAGGCAGCAGUGGGGAAUAUUGGACAAUGGGGGCAACCCUGAUCCAGCAAUUCUGUGUGCACGAUGAAGGUUUUCGGAUUGUAAAGUGCUUUCAGCAGGGAAGAAAAAAAUGACGGUACCUGCAGAAGAAGCGACGGCUAAAUACGUG
This 463-nucleotide ribosomal RNA is filed under the name uncultured bacterium. RNAcentral describes it as "partial 16S ribosomal RNA". It matches the Rfam family "Bacterial small subunit ribosomal RNA", at positions 28 to 507 of the family's 1533-position model. The record is from RNAcentral.